ACGGGAGGCAGCAGCUAAGAAUAUUCCGCAAUGGACGAAAGUCUGACGGAGCGACGCCGCGUGGAUGAUGAAGGUCGAAAGAUUGUAAAAUCCUUUUAGGAGUGAAGAAUAAGCGGUGCAGGGAAUGGCAUCACGGUGACGGUAGCUCCUGAAUAAGCAACGGCUAAUUACGUGCCAGCAGCCGCGGUAACACGUAAGGUGCGAGCGUUGUUCGGAAUUAUUGGGCGUAAAGGGCAUGUAGGCGGUUAUGCAAGCUUGGUGUGAAAUCCCGGAGCUCAACUCCGGAACUGCAUUGAGAACUACAUAACUUGAAUCACUGAAGGGGAACCGGAAUUCCAGGUGUAGGGGUGAAAUCUGUAGAUAUCUGGAAGAACACCAAUGGCGAAGGCAGGUUUCUGGCAGAUGAUUGACGCUGAGGUGCGAAGGUGCGGGGAGCAAACAGGAUUAGAUACCCUGGUA
This 459-nucleotide ribosomal RNA is filed under the name uncultured Treponema sp. RNAcentral describes it as "partial 16S ribosomal RNA". It matches the Rfam family "Bacterial small subunit ribosomal RNA", at positions 341 to 792 of the family's 1533-position model. Lineage: Bacteria; Pseudomonadati; Spirochaetota; Spirochaetia; Treponematales; Treponemataceae. The record is from RNAcentral.